RNAcentral lists this unclassified non-coding RNA (240 nucleotides) under soil metagenome. RNAcentral's name for it is "partial contains 5.8S ribosomal RNA, internal transcribed spacer 2, and large subunit ribosomal RNA". The record is from RNAcentral.
AACGGUCUAUACCUGCGGUACCUGCGGAGGGAUCAUUACCGAGUUUACAACUCCCAAACCCAAUGUGAACGUUACCAAACUGUUGCCUCGGCGGGAUCUCUGCCCCGGGUGCGUCGCAGCCCCGGACCAAGGCGCCCGCCGGAGGACCAACCUAAAACUCUUUUGUAUACCCCCUCGCGGGUUUUUUAUAUCUGAGCCAUCUCGGCGCCUCUCGUAGGCGUUUCGAAAAUGAAUCAAAAC